Molecule: long non-coding RNA, 1665 nt
Organism: Branchiostoma floridae (Florida lancelet)
Lineage: Eukaryota; Metazoa; Chordata; Leptocardii; Amphioxiformes; Branchiostomatidae
Exons: 3
Source: RefSeq, a predicted model, not a curated record
CGGCAUGUGUGUGGAGCUGUAUGGUUUUGUACUACUCUUUAGUGGCUUCUUCCCAGUAGCGAUCAGUUUCAUCAGAAGGAUUCCUGUACUCGGGAUGGCGCUGGACCUGCCAGGCAUCAGUACGUUGGUGGCAAAAAUAGGAGACGGGUCCCAUCAGAUGGUGUGACAGUGAACUGGAGGGACAGAGUCGAGAUCAGAAACUGCACUAUUUUCUGCAUCAGGAAGUUCAACGAAAUCAACUGGAGGGGUUAGAACUUCUUACCAAUAUCAGAGAGUUUGCAGUUUUGAAGAUCACCAAAUGCUUGCAUCAAAGGAGGGACUUUUAGUAUACAUCUGUCUAUAUUCAAACAUCCUUUACCAAGUCAGAGAUAUAUUUGGUGCAGUAGAAGUUGGUGCUCCUCUGUCGGUAGAACAAAUUUACAUUGAUACUUGUCCCCAUGACACAAGCAGUUUUGUGGUCUAGAUCAGCAAAAUUGUGAACUCGACUAGUCUAUUGCCCACUGUUUUUAUGCCAACAUGUGGUUCUUUGUGAAACCAAGAGGAUGCCAAAUAUGGAGAGAAAUGAAAUUGCAAUGACAAACUUCAACGACAGCUGACAAUGUAUUUUCUAUGAUGCCGAACAAAAUCAGUCAGGAAAGUUAGAAGAAGCACCGGGUAUUGCACAUAAAUUUUGUAGAAAUAGUUUUGUUCAUUCUUUGUUAUUUCCGCUGCAAUCUGAAGAAAGAAACUAUUAUUGAUGUUAAACACAUGUAGCUGCAUCGUGUGUGAAUAACAAAGUAACGGUAACAGUUUAACAUUUCUUGUGGGUUACAUGUAGCAGUUUUGGUUGUCAGUCUUACAUUGCCUUCCUUUGAGAACAAAUCAGUUCGUGAAAAUGUAUCAAUAUAUUUAUGUCAGAAGAACGAGCAACAUUUUUGUGUCAAACACUGUAAUCUCCAAGCAGAUGUUGGGGGUCAAGUAUUAUGAUUUUCGAACCCAAUAUCUACUUGGAGAUUAAAACACGGUCAUUUCAAAUUAAAAAUUGAAAAGUCAACUUUGAGUCCGUGAUAUGAUGUGUAAAGUCUUAAAGAAUAUACUAUUAGAUGUUUUAGUUUGAUGGACUUUUAAGUUCUAGAUACACCUUGCUUUGCUAAUUAGAUAUGAUCAGUUACGUUCAAGCUACUUUAACAUCAUGUUUACGCUUCAGUGAAUUCUUCCAAACUGCUCCAAAAAUGUUGCAAAUUAUUUUGAACAAAACUAGAAUAUUCAAGGCACAUUAUUUGAUGGUGGUUUCACUGACUUAAGCUGUGACAUAUCUAAUCCGUCAGCCUUUGGUGUGUUGGUCGAGUAAGAAUUGUCGGAGCUUUUUGUCUUGUUUGUCCUGUGUAUUUAUGACUAGAAGGAUGUCUGUUAGGAAAUAAAGAGAGAAAAUGACCUGAUAUGUUGAAGAUGUAGCAAGCUUACAUGUAUCUUGUUGAGGAUUAUGUUUGUUGCGAAUGUGGAGGUAUUGAAACGUUUUAGAUACAUGAAAUGCGAAGGUGUAAAAAAAGUGAAUUGUCAUGAGCUGUAUUGUACUCAGGCCAUAAAGUUCAAUUCUCUGGCUUUAUGGUCUGACAAGAUUCUUGGCUUUCCUGGAUUUUUGUAAAACAAAAAAUGUAAUAAACCACCUGCAAUUUGCCAUUGGAA